AAAGCCGGAUUAAUACCGCAUACGACCUGAGGGUGAAAGCGGGGGAUUCUUGGGCAACCGAGGNCCUCGCGCGAUAGGAGCGGCCGAUGGCGGAUUAGCUAGUUGGUGGGGUAAAGGCCUACCAAGGCGACGAUCCGUAGCGGGUCUGAGAGGACGGCCCGCCACACUGGAACUGAGACACGGUCCAGACUCCUACGGGAGGCAGCAGUGGGGAAUUUUGGACAAUGGGGGCAACCCUGAUCCAGCCAUUCCGCGUGAGUGAAGAAGGCCUUCGGGUUGUAAAGCUCUUUCGGCAGGAACGAAACGGUGGAGGCUAAUACCUUUCAUCAAUGACGGUACCUGAAGAAGAAGCACCGGCUAACUACGUGCCAGCAGCCGCGGUAAUACGUAGGGUGCGAGCGUUAAUCGGAAUUACUGGGCGUAAAGCGUGCGCAGGCGGCUCACUAAGACAGAUGUGAAAUCCCCGGGCUUAACCUGGGAACUGCGUUUGUGACUGGUGGGCUGGAGUGUGGCAGAGGGGGGUGGAAUUCCACGUGUAGCAGUGAAAUGCGUAGAGAUGUGGAGGAACACCGAUGGCGAAGGCAGCCCCCUGGGUUGACACUGACGCUCAUGCACGAAAGCGUGGGGAGCAAACAGGAUUAGAUACCCUGGUAGUCC
RNAcentral lists this ribosomal RNA (657 nucleotides) under uncultured bacterium. RNAcentral describes it as "bacterial SSU rRNA". It matches the Rfam family "Bacterial small subunit ribosomal RNA", at positions 154 to 796 of the family's 1533-position model. The record is from RNAcentral.